GGGUCAGCAGGUCGGUCGUGCCAAUGGUAUGCACUGGCCUUGCUGAUUCCUCCCUCUUGAUGAGCUGUAAUGCCAUUAAUUUGGUGUUGCGGGGAAUCAGGACUGUUACUUUGAAAAAAUUAGAGUGUUUAAAACAGGCUUAUGCUUGAAUACAUUAGCAUGGAAUAACGGAAUAGGACU
RNAcentral lists this ribosomal RNA (180 nucleotides) under uncultured Glomeromycotina. RNAcentral describes it as "partial small subunit ribosomal RNA". The stretch from base 40 to 180 matches the Rfam family "Eukaryotic small subunit ribosomal RNA", at positions 686 to 829 of the family's 1831-position model. The record is from RNAcentral. Lineage: Eukaryota; Fungi; Glomeromycota.